Molecule: non-coding RNA, 30 nt
Filed under: Rattus norvegicus (Norway rat)
Lineage: Eukaryota; Metazoa; Chordata; Mammalia; Rodentia; Muridae
Source: RNAcentral
UAAUGCUUAAUGUUCAUUCAUCUGGUGGUC